RNAcentral lists this microRNA precursor (78 nucleotides) under Schistosoma haematobium. RNAcentral's name for it is "mir-3492 microRNA precursor family". The record is from Rfam by way of RNAcentral. Lineage: Eukaryota; Metazoa; Platyhelminthes; Trematoda; Strigeidida; Schistosomatidae.
AGCUUUCUAAUUGCCUGCAGAGAUCUCAUCAGGCACCAACAUAUUAGGGCUGAUAAGACUUCCAACAUAAGUGAAGUU